CCCUUAGAUGUCCGGGGCUGCACGCGCGCUACACUGAAGGAAUCAGCGUGCUAAAACCAUUGUCGAAAGGCAUUGGUAAACCCAUUAAAAUCCUACGUGAUUGGGAUCGGGAAUUGCAAUUAUUUCCCUUGAACGAGGAAUUCCCAGUAAGUGUGGGUCAUAAGCUCGCGUUGAUUACGUCCCUGCCCUUUGUACACACCGCCCGUCGCUGCCCGGGACUGAGCCGUUUCGAGAAAAGCGGGGACUGCUGCUGUCGGGGCUUUCGGGCCUUGGCUUCGGUGGAAACCGCUUUAAUCGCAGUGGCUUGAACCGGGCAAAAGUCGUAAC
RNAcentral lists this ribosomal RNA (327 nucleotides) under uncultured eukaryote. RNAcentral describes it as "partial 18S ribosomal RNA". It matches the Rfam family "Eukaryotic small subunit ribosomal RNA", at positions 1470 to 1795 of the family's 1831-position model. The record is from RNAcentral.